Molecule: long non-coding RNA, 4706 nt
Filed under: Sus scrofa (pig)
Lineage: Eukaryota; Metazoa; Chordata; Mammalia; Artiodactyla; Suidae
Description: lncRNA (ENSSSCG00035014567.1)
Source: RNAcentral
UAUACAAAGCAGUAUUUCUUCCACCAUUGAGCAAAUACUUGUGUGAUAUAAUCCCCUCUCUAGGACUGCCAGAUCUAGCAAAUUAAACUACAGGACACUAGGUUAAAAUUUAAUUUCAGAUAGACAAUAAAUUUUUAAUAAAAACUAUGUCUCAUGCAAUUGUUGGGGACAUACUUAUACUAACAUUUAUUGUUUAUCUAAAUUUUAAACUUAACUGUGCAUUCUGGAUUUUAUCUGCCAAUCCUACCCCUUUGUGGUAGAAAGAUGAACUUGUUAACCACUCUAAAAAACAUCCAGUUACAGAUAUUUCAAGCUAGUACAGGCCAUAGAGAAAUUUCACCUCAGUAAUAGGACAUUUAUAGAUGCCUUAAGCUAUCAACUCCCCACCCCCAACCACUCCCCUGCCAUGUGGGUCUUGGCUGUUGAGAUUGGCUGAGGUGGCCUAUCCCAUCAGAAUGAGUUGUAGAAAAACACAACUGAGCCCCUGAUAGGAAACUCACCAUCAAUAUUGAUGGAAUCUGGGAGUUCCUGCUGUGGUGCAACAGGAUCUGUGUUGGCUCUGAACCACUGGGAUGGAGGUUCUGUUCCCUGGCCUGGGAACUCCAUGUGCCAUGAGGCAGUCAAAAAUGGAAGAAGAAAUAUAGAUAGAUAGAUAGAUAGAUAGAUAGAUAGAUAGAUAGAUAGAUAGAUAGAUGGAUGGAUAGAUAGAUAGAUGGAUAGAUGGAUGGAUGGAUGGAACCUGGUCUGAAGAUCUAACUCACCAACAAGGCCAAGCUGCAGAAGGGGGAUGGAUACAGAUUCUGGAUUGUCUUGACACCCCCCUCCUGGACUGUGUGAGUCCUCAGGAUCUUCACUAGUGACAGUGAGGGAUGAGUUUAGAAUAGUUCUCUGUUGGGGCUUCAGUUUGGUACUCAGCAACACAGGCAGGCUGCCACUAGCAGCCAAUUGGUGGUGGUCACGGUAACCCAAGACCUGGAGGUGAACUGUUGCAAGGCUGGUCCAGAAUUCUUCCCCUUUGUUCCCAUGCCCAGUUUUGUGCCCAAGUGCUCAUCCCCACUUCUUAUUUCCGUUGAGAGGAUUUGGCCAGGAAUUCCAGAUGAAGAAUACAACCAAGCUGCAUCUGCAUCAUACCUACACUGUGUGGCCAAACAAGCGAUGUAGAGGCCGAUGCUGAUUCCGAGCUCCUGCCAGUGAGCACACUGCCCUCCGUGUCCAGGAACCAUCAAUGCCAUCUACCUCCGUGUGUGAUUUGUGGAUGAGUUGUGUGCCUCUGGCCAAGAGAGCUCAUAAACUAAAGAUUAAUGAGAGGAAGAGGCAACCCAUUGGGGGCAAAACAUUAGUAAAGCAGGAAGGUCUUUUGCUUUUUGGAGCUGGAAUAACCAGGAGGAUUCGUCAUUGUUGCAGCUGACUUUGGUGUGUAGCCAAGCCAGAGGCACUGACUGCAAGCACAGUUGGCUCCAUCUCCCCCUCUGCCAACCCAGAGUCCCUGCAAUCCCACCACCACUGCACAAGUUGUUGCCAGACUGAGAAAGAAUAGUAGUUCUUCUUCUUCCUCCUUCUUUGCUAUUUUUAGAGGAAUUUGAAUAACAACCUAUUCUCCUCAUUUAUUAUUCUUGAUGAAUAGUAAAUUAUUCUAAUAGCAUUGACUGUUCUAUUCAUUUAUUAUUUGAGGAUGAUUAAAAGUGAAUAGCUAUUAUAAAGCCUCACUAGUUCCAAAAAUUAGACUUUAGAAUUUUGUGUUUCCUUUUGGCUCUGAGUAAUUACCUCUAUUGCUUCCUCUAAUUCUGUCACGUACACAUACCUCUUUCUUCUUUCCUACUCAUGGUCUGUUUUGACUCCAGAAUCAGGAAGCCCAGUACUUAAAAGUUUAUCCAGAGAGAUGAUGAAUGAGUCUCUGAAAUGUCUCCCACAGACAUGCAGUGUUUUAAAUUAUGUUUAGGUUCAAUAAGGUCUUAUAAAUUCCUCAGAACUGUUAUUAUUUAAGGGUAGAGAAUACUAAGACAUGGCUUGCAGAUGACAGCAGAGGUACAUGCCAGGAUAAAUCACAUUGCUAUUUAUAGAAUAGACUAUGAGGUUCUAGCCUGAGGUUGUAAAGAAGAUGUAGGGUGAAAAAAAGUAUUAUUUUUUUUUUGUAAUGAGUCUUGUUAUAUAACCCUCUUAUCUGGGCAUUUGAGGUCCUAAUAUAUCACCCUCAGCACUCUCCAGACAGUCUUCACCCAGUCAAAGUGGACCCAUUGUUUUUCCCCAAAUAUGAUGUCAGCUUUCCCACAAUCUAAAUAUUCCAUUCUUUUCAUGACUGGAAUAUCUUUGCGGCUUCUGCACACCAUCUUUACCUAUGAAAGAUGCUUCCAUCUUUACCUAUGAAAAUAUCAUCAUUCCAUGAAGGAUCGCUUUAAAGUUCUCCUGAGUCGCCUCAUCUUAAGAUGUCUUGUCCCUUCUAAAAUUCUGCCUCCUAUCUCUAAAGGGCUCAUUCACAACUGCUGACUGUCCUGUAUAAGGACAGAUCCUGGUUUUAUAGGGCUUCAUGCUUACAUAAUUGGGGGGAUCCUCUCCAUAAAAAAAGAAUAUUAAAAAAAAAUACAAAUGUAGUGGCUCAGUGGUAAUGAACCCAACUAGUAUCCAGGAGGAUGCAGGUUUGAUCCCUGGCCUCGCUCAGUGGCUUAAGGAUCCAGCAUUGCUGUGAGCUGUGGUGUAGGUCGAAGAUGUGGCUUGGAUCCCAUGUUGCUGUAGCUGCGGCUAUGGCUGGUAGCAACAGCUCCAAUUCGACCUCUAGCCUGGGAACUUCCAUAUGCCUCGGGUGCAGCCCUAAAAACAACAACAACAACAACAACAACAAAAAGAAAGAAAAUGUUUUGGGGUGAUCAGUGUAAACGGUGGAGUAAGGACCUCCCAAAACCCACUCCUUCAUAAGAGCAACAACAACAACAAAACUGGAAAAAUGGCAGAAUCAAGUUUUUUGAACUUUAGAAACUAGCUGAAAGCUUAGAACAAUUUGGGGAAAAGAACAUUGGCUCUGGGGUUCCCUUCAUGGCUCAGUGGUUAACGAACCUGACUAGGAUCCAUGAAGAUGCAGGUUCGAUCCCUGGCCUUGCUCAGUGGGUUAAGGAUCUGGCAUUGCCAUGAGCUGUGGUGUAGGCCAAAGAUGCAGCUCGGAUCCUGCGUUGCUGUGGCUGAGACACAGGCUAGCAGAUACAGCUCUGAUUCCACCCCUAGUCUGGGAACUUCCAUGUGCUGCAGAUGCAGCCCUAAAAAGCAAACAAAACAAAACAAAAAACAAUGAGCUUCAUGGUGUUUUAAUUUACUCUAGUCUCAUCCCAGCUCCCUCAUUGGUAGAUAUGGAAAUUAUAGCCCAUAUUCCCAGCACUUGUGCUGGAGGGAGAAGAAUAGAACUUAUUUGCAAAGAAUUGUUAUUUUUGUUUUGAUUAGUCUUGCUCAAAAGGUUUGUCUUUAUCUCACAUAAGAACAUGGCCAGUGCUAAAGCUGCUUUUGGAUGAUGGGUAGGUGUAGGAGGUUGAGGUUGGCAUACCGAUUCAAAACAUUUCCGGAUGAAUGUUUUAGUUGCUGUUGUCAGAGGCAAUACAUAACUGAUGGAAAAAACAAAAGACUAAUCAAAAAGCUUAGAAGGAAAGCCUAGGGAAAGAGAUGCUUAUUUAUUUAUUUAUUUUUGGAAUGAGAUGCUUUUAAAAUUAACAGCUUUAAAAGGCUAUGAAAUAUUUCUCACAAUGCCCAGGUCUGUAUGCAUGCUCAAGAAAGACUCAAGAAAAUCCUAAACUUUCACCUCUGGCUAAUCUUGAAGCUAUGUGCAAGAAAAAAGUGAAGGCUGAGGCAGAGUUAUAAACUUCCUAAAGAAGUAAUGAAUGCAUACCCCAGUAAACACAGAGACUCUCUGAAAAGAUGAAUUUUUUUUUAGAUUUGAAAUGUUUAAGGAAAUUUUUGUUCACUCAUUAGCUGACCACUAAGCAAAGGGAACAGAGAUACCAGUGGCAACACAUGAUAACACAGACUUUAAAAAAUCAAUAAAAUAAAAAUCACUAAACAAGCAACUACUAAGCUAAAAAACUACUACUGCAACAGAGCAACAAGUCUCAGGGAAGGGGCAGAAUCUGACUUCCAAAGUUACCUUAUUAUACUAUUCAAAAUGUCCAGCUUUCAUCAAAAAUUAUAAAGCACGCAAAGAAACACGAAAGUACAACCUAGAGAAAAAAAUAAAAAGCAAUUAAUAGAAACUUUCCCUGAGGAAGUACAGAUGUUGAAUUUAUUAGAUAAAGAUUUGCUAUUAUCUUUUUCAAGUAUCUCACAGAGCUAAAUGAAACAAUAUCUAAAUAAUCAAAGGAAGGCAUGCAAAUGAUGUUUCACCAAAUAGAGACUACCAAUAAAGAGACAUAAAUUAUUUAAAAAAAGAAAAGAACCAAAUAGAAAUCCUGGAGUUGAUAAGUACAGUAACUGAAAAAAGAGAUUCACUACGGCUUAACAGCAGAUUUGGGCAAUAGAAACAAUUAGCAAACUCGAAGAUAAAUCAAUUAGAUUUAUCUGGGGAAUCUUGAAAACAGCAUGACAGAAGUGACUCAUCACAUACAAGGAAAUUUCAAAAAAAAUUAACAUUUGAUUUUUUAUCAGAAGCUAUGGAAGUCAAACCCAAUGGAUGAAAUAUUCAAAAUGCUGAAAAGAAAACCUUUUGAUCAAAAAUUUUAUAUCUGGCAAAACUA